GACGAACGCUGGCGGCGUGCUUAACACAUGCAAGUCGAACGGAAAGGCCCUGCUUUUGUGGGGUGCUCGAGUGGCGAACGGGUGAGUAACACGUGAGUAACCUGCCCUUGACUUUGGGAUAACUUCAGGAAACUGGGGCUAAUACCGGAUAGGAGCUCCUGCUGCAUGGUGGGGGUUGGAAAGUUUCGGCGGUUGGGGAUGGACUCGCGGCUUAUCAGCUUGUUGGUGGGGUAGUGUCUUACCAAGGCUUUGACGGGUAGCCGGCCUGAGAGGGUAACCGGCCACAUUGGGACUGAGAUACGGCCCAGACUACUACGGGAGGCAGCAGUGGGGAAUAUUGCACAAUGGGAGGAAGCCUGAUGCAGCAACGCAGCGUGCGGGAUGACGGCAUUCGGGUUGUAAACCGCUUUCGCCUGUGACGAAGCGUGAGUGACGGUAAUGGGUAAAGAAGCACCGGCUAACUACGUG
Molecule: ribosomal RNA, 468 nt
Filed under: uncultured bacterium
Lineage: Bacteria
Description: partial 16S ribosomal RNA
Rfam family: Bacterial small subunit ribosomal RNA
Source: RNAcentral